RNAcentral lists this ribosomal RNA (455 nucleotides) under uncultured organism. RNAcentral describes it as "bacterial SSU rRNA". It matches the Rfam family "Bacterial small subunit ribosomal RNA", at positions 346 to 794 of the family's 1533-position model. The record is from RNAcentral.
GUGCAGCAGGCGAGAAUUUUUCUCAAUGGGGGAAACCCUGAAGGAGCGACGCCGCGUGGAGGAUGAAGGCUUUCGGGUUGUAAACUCCUGUCAUUUGAGAACAAGUGGCCGAACGUAACUGCUUCGGCCUUGAUAGCAUCAGAAGAGGAAGGGACGGCUAACUCUGUGCCAGCAGCCGCGGUAAUACAGAGGUCUCAAGCGUUGUUCGGAUUCAUUGGGCGUAAAGGGUGCGUAGGUGGCGCCGUAAGUCGGGUGUGAAAUUUCGGAGCUUAACUCCGAAACUGCAUUCGAUACUGCGGUGCUUGAGGACUGGAGAGGAGACUGGAAUUUACGGUGUAGCAGUGAAAUGCGUAGAGAUCGUAAGGAAGACCAGUGGCGAAGGCGGGUCUCUGGACAGUUCCUGACACUGAGGCACGAAGGCCAGGGGAGCAAACGGGAUUAGAUACCCGUGUAGU